ACAAUAGGGUCGGUGCUACCGGAGAAAUGCUUCGUACCCAACCGGGAUAAAUGUUGAAGCAGACUCAGAUAGUCCACCUUUUUUCCAGACUUUUCCGGUGGAUCGAUCUCGAUCACCUCGACCGUUUCCACAACUGGACCAUUGGUGUUGGGGGUGGUCGUAGCCACAGGCGUAGCCUGGCCAACCGAGGAGUUCACUAGUGGCGUGAACAGUUGCGCCAUGGCCGCAACCUGAGUCCCCAUUACCUUCAUAGCCUCUAACAAGUCCUCUUUGGACAGUGUUGCGGGCACAUUAGCCGUUCCAUCGGCCAUUCUCUCAUGCUGGUCACCAUCGCGGUUAGCGUUCGAGGAUUCCACUUCCUCGUCACUCUCCCGAUGUU
RNAcentral lists this long non-coding RNA (379 nucleotides) under Brassica napus (rape). Its description in RNAcentral is "long non-coding RNA (BNAP_LNC002521)". The record is from RNAcentral. Lineage: Eukaryota; Viridiplantae; Streptophyta; Magnoliopsida; Brassicales; Brassicaceae.